GGGCAGUUAGCUCAGUGGUAGAGCACCUGCCUUACAAGCAGGACGCCAUAGGUUCAAAUCCUAUACUGCCCA
RNAcentral lists this transfer RNA (72 nucleotides) under Gloeochaete wittrockiana. RNAcentral's name for it is "tRNA-Val". It matches the Rfam family "tRNA". From Rfam's summary of the family: Transfer RNA (tRNA) molecules are approximately 80 nucleotides in length. Their secondary structure includes four short double-helical elements and three loops (D, anti-codon, and T loops). Further hydrogen bonds mediate the characteristic L-shaped molecular structure. tRNAs have two regions of fundamental functional importance: the anti-codon, which is responsible for specific mRNA codon recognition, and the 3' end, to which the tRNAs corresponding amino acid is attached (by aminoacyl-tRNA synthetases). tRNAs cope with the degeneracy of the genetic code in two manners: having more than one tRNA (with a specific anti-codon) for a particular amino acid; and 'wobble' base-pairing, i.e. permitting non-standard base-pairing at the 3rd anti-codon position. The record is from RNAcentral. Lineage: Eukaryota; Glaucocystophyceae; Gloeochaetales; Gloeochaetaceae.